UACAGAGGCCUCGAGCGUUAGGCGGAAUCACUGGGCUUAAAGCGUGUGUAGGUGGAUGCCUAAGUACCUUGUGAAAUCCCACGGCUUAACCAUGGAAUUGCUUGGUAUACUGGGUGUCUUGAGCCACUCAGGGGCGAGCGGAACAAACGGUGGAGCGGUGAAAUGCGUAGAUAUCGUUUGGAACGCCAAUGGUGAAAACAGGUUGCUGGGAGUGUGCUGACGCUGAGACACGAAAGCCAGGGGAGCGAACGGG
RNAcentral lists this ribosomal RNA (253 nucleotides) under uncultured bacterium. RNAcentral describes it as "partial 16S ribosomal RNA". It matches the Rfam family "Bacterial small subunit ribosomal RNA", at positions 524 to 776 of the family's 1533-position model. The record is from RNAcentral.